GACGAACGCUGGCGGCGUGCCUAAUACAUGCAAGUAGAACGCACAGUUUAUACCGUAGCUUGCUACACCAUAGACUGUGAGUUGCGAACGGGUGAGUAACGCGUAGGUAACCUGCCUGGUAGCGGGGGAUAACUAUUGGAAACGAUAGCUAAUACCGCAUAAUAUUAAUUAUUGCAUGAUAAUUAAUUGAAAGGUGCAAUUGCACCACUACCAGAUGGACCUGCGUUGUAUUAGCUAGUAGGUGAGGUAACGGCUCACCUAGGCGACGAUACAUAGCCGACCUGAGAGGGGGAUCGGCCACACUGGGACUGAGACACGGCCCAGACUCCUACGGGAGGCAGCAGUAGGGAAUCUUCGGCAAUGGACGAAAGUCUGACCGAGCAACGCCGCGUGAGUGAAGAAGGUUUUCGGAUCGUAAAGCUCUGUUGUAAGAGAAGAACGGGUGUGGGAGUGGAAAGUUCACACUGUGACGGUAUCUUACCAGAAAGGGACGGCUAACUACGUG
RNAcentral lists this ribosomal RNA (505 nucleotides) under uncultured bacterium. RNAcentral describes it as "partial 16S ribosomal RNA". It matches the Rfam family "Bacterial small subunit ribosomal RNA", at positions 28 to 507 of the family's 1533-position model. The record is from RNAcentral.